Chenopodium quinoa (quinoa) is the source of this 626-nucleotide long non-coding RNA. RefSeq lists it as uncharacterized. NCBI's taxonomy places the organism in Eukaryota, Viridiplantae, Streptophyta, Magnoliopsida, Caryophyllales, Amaranthaceae. The record is from RefSeq and is a predicted model, not a curated record. The transcript is spliced from 3 exons.
ACGAUAUAUUAUAAGCCCAAUUCCGAUGAAUAUUGAGUAAUUGGUAUACACUAGACCCUAGUGUAGGUAGGGAUACCUACACCCCCCUCUAAAUGAUGCGUUUAUCAUGUUACCCACAUCCCAUAACCCACUAACCUACUGUAACUACCCACCAUUCUCUCUAAAACCUUCUUCUUCAUUUCUCUAGACUUUCUCUCUCAUCAAAACCAGAAAAUAUGAACCAAAAUUGCUUCAAAAUACUACGAAAUUGCUUCAAAAUACUACGAAAUUGCUUCAAAAUAUUGCUAAAUUCCUUCAAAUGUCUACAUUUGCGAAGAAAUUCAACAAUCGCAACAACAUUCACAGAAAGAAACCGAAAAAUAUAUUUCGAAUUAGAGAGAUAAAGAGAAUGAGGAUUCAGAGAAGAAUCCUGUUCGUUGAACAUAACAAGGCAUAGUCUGAAGAAACGUGAACCAAAUUAGGAAGCAAGGAUGCGGAACUGAUGCUAUUUGAAGAAAAACACUAAAUAUAGGUUAAAUAGAAGAUAAGCAAGGAAGUUUGCAAAUGAAUAGUACAUGUUAUAUGUUCAUUUAUGAAAGUGUAUAUGUUCAUUAAUGAAUGUGUAUAUGAUCAUAUCUUAUACUUCC